GGCAUUUCGCACCGACUAUGUCUGGGCGCUUGGACUGAAAAGUCGUCCGUCCCCCAAAAAAUAAAAUGUUACCAGAAAACCCUACCAGAACCCCAGAGUCACACCAGUAACUGGUUUCGACCAGAUCUCAUUCUGUCUCCGACUGAAGCGAAAAAGGGUUUCGAUUAUUGUGUUGUUCUGAAGAAGUUUUGUUUUGAUUCUCUUUCCUAAUUGAUAUAUAAUUUAAAGAAAAAUUCAUCAAGGUCUCUCCUUGAGUCCUCUCCGGUAAAAGAAGAUGCCGCUUGGACAGAGGGUUGGAGAUUAAAGCGACUCACGGUACCGUGGAGUCAUUAUCGACUUUGAUGAUGAGAACAUGCCUUAUGUUUUAGCUUUCAAUGUUUGGUGGUUUCGAUUCUAUCGUGGCUCCACUGGGAAGAAGUGAUGGAAAGAGUUCUGGACGUCGUUAAGAGCUUCACCAAGGGAAGAAGUGAUGGAAAGAGUUCUGGACGUUUCCAUGGUCAGUUCCUUAUCAGAAUAAUUUCUCUGUUUUGUGGCCAAUAUCGGGUUUUAGUCUGAAUUACCUGGAACUACUGGGAAUUGAUCAAGAUUCAGGUUUGCAAAUAUAGCUAUUAGACUAAAAUUUGUUGUGUAUAUCGUGGCUUCAGCUCUGGUAUGAAAAUUACGUAAAGAUAGAUAUUGUUCCAUAUUAACACCAAAAUAGUUCAUCACAAAGAAUAUUAAAAUAGACAAAUUAAUUUUGGAAAUGAAACGGGUUCUAACAUAAAAGCCUAAUCAACAAUGUUGGUGUCAUUGGAAGCUGCAAUGUAUGUCGUGAUAGUGGCUUAUUGUUGGCAAUGCUUGUUUUUAGGAAUGGGGAAGGAAGACAAGAAAAAGAAAAGAAAAGAAA
Long non-coding RNA from Macadamia integrifolia, 886 nucleotides. RefSeq lists it as uncharacterized. The transcript has 4 exons. Lineage: Eukaryota; Viridiplantae; Streptophyta; Magnoliopsida; Proteales; Proteaceae. The record is from RefSeq and is a predicted model, not a curated record.